RNAcentral lists this ribosomal RNA (637 nucleotides) under uncultured beta proteobacterium. RNAcentral's name for it is "bacterial SSU rRNA". It matches the Rfam family "Bacterial small subunit ribosomal RNA", at positions 81 to 715 of the family's 1533-position model. The record is from RNAcentral. Lineage: Bacteria; Pseudomonadati; Pseudomonadota; Betaproteobacteria.
CACCUGGUGGCGAGUGGCGAACGGGUGAGUAAUACAUCGGAACAUGUCCUGUAGUGGGGGAUAGCCCGGCGAAAGCCGGAUUAAUACCGCAUACGAUCUACGGAUGAAAGCGGGGGACCUUCGGGCCUCGCGCUAUAGGGUUGGCCGAUGGCUGAUUAGCUAGUUGGUGGGGUAAAGGCCUACCAAGGCGACGAUCAGUAGCUGGUCUGAGAGGACGACCAGCCACACUGGGACUGAGACACGGCCCAGACUCCUACGGGAGGCAGCAGUGGGGAAUUUUGGACAAUGGGCGAAAGCCUGAUCCAGCAAUGCCGCGUGUGUGAAGAAGGCCUUCGGGUUGUAAAGCACUUUUGUCCGGAAAGAAAUCCUUGGUUCUAAUAUAGCCGGGGGAUGACGGUACCGGAAGAAUAAGCACCGGCUAACUACGUGCCAGCAGCCGCGGUAAUACGUAGGGUGCGAGCGUUAAUCGGAAUUACUGGGCGUAAAGCGUGCGCAGGCGGUUUGCUAAGACCGAUGUGAAAUCCCCGGGCUCAACCUGGGAACUGCAUUGGCGACUGGCAGGCUAGAGUAUGGCAGAGGGGGGUAGAAUUCCACGUGUAGCAGUGAAAUGCGUAGAGAUGUGGAGGAAUACCGAUGG